Molecule: ribosomal RNA, 110 nt
Filed under: Candidatus Giovannonibacteria bacterium GW2011_GWA2_44_13b
Lineage: Bacteria; Candidatus Giovannoniibacteriota
Source: RNAcentral
CAAUGGGUGGUUUGAGGCAAUGGCACUACCUCUUCCCAUCCCGAACAGAGUCGUAAAACAUUGUACUACCGAUGAUACUCCAACAGGGGGAAAGUAGGUAACCGCCCGUU